Molecule: long non-coding RNA, 1876 nt
Organism: Pyrus x bretschneideri (Chinese white pear)
Lineage: Eukaryota; Viridiplantae; Streptophyta; Magnoliopsida; Rosales; Rosaceae
Exons: 4
Source: RefSeq, a predicted model, not a curated record
UCUCAAACUUGAAGAAUUGAUCAAUGAAUUUUACUUUUUGAAGUUUAGUUCCAAAUUUCAUUUGGUUUGAAACUUUAACUUCUAUUUGUUUUGGUUCGUAACUUCUAUUUGGAUUGCAAGCUUAAUUUUCAUCAUGAAUCUUGAUGUAUCAUUAUAUUAUUAUGUGUGUGAAUUGUAAGUGAUGAAUAAUUGAUAAAUUUAGAUUACAAUGUAUGAGAUAAAGGUACCAAAAAAAAAAAAAAAAGUUUUGCCAUUGAAUUGGGUUAAAAAAAAUAAAACAAAAUGGCAAUUACCAUUGUCAUACCAUACCAUGCAAACCGAAUUAUUUAGCAACACUGAACUUCAGUAUGCUAAAAUUUUGAUACGAUAAUGAUAAUAGAUUUUGUCGAACCAAAAAUUUGAUACGAUAAUUAUUACAAGAGUUUUGAUACUCUAACAGGGCCGAACCCACCCCCAUGUGCACCAGAGGAGGUCCAUUUCCUUGUAAUCACACCAUCACAGAGUCCUGGACAUUUUUUUUUCUCUUCUCCUUUUCCAUGGUCGUACUCCUUUCGUGUUCAUUUGCCCAGCAAAAAACCUGAAACUCCUUUAAAAACCCUGAAUUUCAACCGGAGGACGAACAAUUCCCGCCAUUUUCCGCUUCUUGGAUAAGCGUUAAUUUCACUCCCCUGCAAAAAUACCGUUGGUUGUAGAACACAGUAACAGCUUACCUACAUUGUGAGAAUAUGGCACAUAAUUCAGUUCCUCCUGGUUUUGUGUCUCGUACAUCCUUCAUGCUGAAGAAACUAAUAGUUCCAAUGCCUUUGUUGAUGCUUCUAAUGAAGGGCCAGUCCAGAUGGAUACCGCGUCUGACCUGACUGACAUGGAUAAGUUGAAAAGACAAAGGCCAUGGAUACUUUUCGACCAAAGUGAUCUCAACACCGAGGAAUCUGAGUCUGAACACUUUAAUACGGACCCCCCCACAAAAUCUUGCCUUCCCAAAGGUGUUACUCAUGGAUGUCCAGAUUGCAGUGGUUGCCUGAAGGUUGAUUUUCAUUCACUGAGUUGAUUCUCUUCCCUUUGAAUUGUAUAGUUCUUAGGUGACAGGAAGGUGGCAUCCUGAAGAGGCAAGAACAUAUGUCCUUGAAGAAGCACCUCUUUUCUGACUUUUACGACAUUUUCAUUUGUUCCAGGACAGACAUCUUUGCCGAAUCCUUUGUUUUAAUGCUCAAUUUUUGCUUAUAAAAUUUCAGUCCUUGAGUUUCUAAAGGAGUUUGGCUUUGUCCUGCAGGAAUUUAAAGACACUCUUAAGUAUGUUGCAAAUAUACGUGCAAGAAGCAGAGCAAUGUGGUAUAUGUCGGAUUAUUCCUCCGCCCUCCUGGAAACCUCCAUGUCUUAUUAAAACAAAAUAUGGAAAUGUUGUACAUUUUCUACCCAUAUUCAGCGAAUUGAUGGGCUACGAAAUCAGUAUUCACCGAGUAAAAUGGAAGCCGACUGAACAUUCUUAUGUCAAAGGUUUUGAACCAGAACCUGGACGAGAAUUGGCUCUUGAGAAUUUGAAGAGUUAUGCAGCUGAUUUCAAGCAUCAAUAUUUCCGCAAAAGUGAAAUCGCUGGUGGCCUAGAUAAGUGGGUGCCAUCACUAGAGAAUAUUGACGCUGAAAAUCCAACUGAGGAAAUUGAGGUGCGUUCAUAAAUUGGGGAGGACAACUUCGAUAUCUCAUGAUAAGCUACUGCUCGGAGCAGCUAGAGAGGCUGUGAAAUCAAAUUCAAAUGAUCAUCCAACGAGAUCCCUCGACUCUGCCACAGCCACAGGGAACGGUAGGGUUCGGUUGCUAGCAUCAUGGUAAAGGUGAAGGCGCAUGCACCCCGAUCAACAACCUUCAAUGAACUGUUAAU